UGAGGACCCGUAGAGCUAGGAACUGUCCAACGGCCAGGGCAAUUGCGCUGUUAAACGAAUUUCUGUCCGAAAUCCAGGAUGCCGACGUAUUUGCCGAUAGUUGGGGAAUACUUUAUUCCAAAAUAAUUUUAUUUUUAGCAUAAUAUUAUAAUAGUACUUAAUAAUUUCAAUAAUAUUUUUGUGUUAUGUAACGUAAUGUUACAACAAACUAGCAAAAUAAAAAGAUAAAAAAAAAACCUUAAAACAAAAGUAUUUAUGUUCAAAGCAGUUAUUUUAUCGACUGUACCGCUGAGGUGAGAACAAUAGUUCCCACCUCCCCCCGAGACGUAGGUUCAGCUGGCGCAGACACUGCGCAGCCGCCGGCAGUCGUCACUAGACUUCCUUAUUAGUCUUACGUUUGUAUUCGAGUUCAGUUAAAGUUCGUUUUCAAACCUAGACGACUUACCUACAAAUAAUUUAUUUAAAAAAUAUAUUUAGUACAGCAAUAUCGUGUGCUGUUUAAUAUUAACACGAUUAAAAUAAACGGAUUCGACCCCGCUUUUAGGGGUUCAUGCCUUGCUGCCUUUCACGCUUCUUGCUUCGCUUGAUAAUCUGCGUCUGUGCUGAAAAGGUCAUCUCCGCACAGUAACCCGUACCCUGGUGAUCUAGCCAGCCCAGGAAACCUCCAGGAGUCCAGACGUGGUGCUUCAGCGGGUCAACCCACGUCCGUUGGCUGCCGGAAUUCAGGAGGGUAACCUACAGAGGGAGAGUCAGAUCGGCCGUACAACCACACCCUACAAAUUUGUGUGCUCAACUGCCUGUUUUUUUUUGUAAUAUAUAUUCUUUUAACUGAGA
Bombyx mori (domestic silkworm) is the source of this 834-nucleotide long non-coding RNA. RefSeq lists it as uncharacterized. The record is from RefSeq and is a predicted model, not a curated record. The transcript is spliced from 2 exons. NCBI's taxonomy places the organism in Eukaryota, Metazoa, Arthropoda, Insecta, Lepidoptera, Bombycidae.